Molecule: long non-coding RNA, 1260 nt
Filed under: Bemisia tabaci
Lineage: Eukaryota; Metazoa; Arthropoda; Insecta; Hemiptera; Aleyrodidae
Description: lncRNA ENSSSA3NGG007506
Source: RNAcentral
UUGAAGAAAAAUUAUCUACCCUUUGAAAAAUGUUAAACUGUGGGUUAAUUUUCUCAGAAUGCCUUUUUUUGCCCUUGGAGUCAUUUUUCCAUCUAAAUCCGUUGAUUCUUUCAUGUGAUAGGUUAAGUAUUAUCGCAUAACUUUUUCUUUGUGAAACAUUUAAGGUAAUGAAGAAAGACUAAGUCAUUGAAUCAUUGAAUUCAUAAUAGUAGCCUUGCACAGCAAGGCUCAGAUUUUUUCCACCACAGAAAUGGUGUACAUACUCAUUUGAUAUUUGCCAAAAUCAGUGCAUGAAACGACUAUCAACUGUUUCCCAUCAACUUCUUGUGCCAAGAGAAGUCAGUUUUGCAGAACCAUUCUGCCUGCAAAUGUUGCGCAAGAAUGAACUAAAAAUUUUUUACAACUUAAAUUUUUACAGUUCCAAAUUGACUUAAUGUUAUACGUACUAUUUGAGAAUAUCCUGCACCCCUGCUUGUACUGAUUUGUUUCUUAGCAGGGGAAAUCUAAUCAAGUUCCCUAAUUGAGCUGCACUUCAUGAUGAGAAAUUCCACCUAGUUUCUUUUCUCUUUUAUUGGCUGUUGGCUCAUAUUUACAAUUAAGGAUUUAUUUAUUUUUAAAAGGAAAAAGGAAAAUAGUACAAGCAGUUUUCCAUAACCACCUCUUGCAGAGUUAAGCGAAAAAGUGUUGUUAAAUUGUUUUUGGUGCCUUGCAUUUUUAGGGAACUUGAUUACAUUCCUUGUUUUCGUUCAUCCUUCGCGUCUAAAGCGGUAUUUAUUUUAAAUGUAUUAUUAUUUGAUCCAAUAAAGUGAUAUACUUGGAUUUACAAAUUGUGAUUUUUACAUUAUUUUCCUUCUUUUACUACAGGCCAAACUGCUCACAAUCUGAUCUGAAGAGGGAAGGUUUUUUUUGGCAAAUCGCAAGUUUCUUACACAUUGCCAUCAGCAAUUUUUGCAUAAACUAAUUCACUGGGUCUCGUGCAUUUUUUCCAUAAGACAUAAUGACAUUGUAAGUCGGCAAUCACAUAGCUCUGUUAGGAACAUCGCAGACUUCCUGUCAUACUUUAUUUUUUAAACGGAAAACUACUCAACGGCAAUUCUUUAGAACUGCUGAUUUUUCUUCUCUGGGCGAAGAAAAUCCCGCAUAACUUCAAAUCAAGGAAUGAAGUCAAUUUGUUCUCCCUUUAAAAAUUAACUUGACAUCUUGACAUCCUGAGGACCCCUGUUUCUGUGAAAAGACAGGUAAAAGGAAUUUUUUUGAGCU